Molecule: long non-coding RNA, 6670 nt
Organism: Anopheles funestus (African malaria mosquito)
Lineage: Eukaryota; Metazoa; Arthropoda; Insecta; Diptera; Culicidae
Exons: 2
Source: RefSeq, a predicted model, not a curated record
UUGGACAUCAGUAUGGUGUGAAACAAAAAAAUGAACUUGAAACAUUGAAUAAUUUCACCUGGAAUUAAUUUAUGAAUUUGUUUAUCCUUAGCUGAAUAAUGCAUCGUAUGAACAUGAUAACUGCCUGUUAGCAAAGGUUUUGGAAUAGGUUUAUGUGAAAGACCGUUGCUGCUUAAUCCGUUAUUGUUUAACAAGUUACUUUAGAGUAUUAUUAUUUUUUAAACUACAUUAUAUCGCUUACUGUAAUGUAAUAUCCGUCAGAAUGACAUAUUACACAUCACAAGCAUGUUUCAUAAGACUGUACUAAACUAUUUACUCCCAAGUACGCAAUAUUUUUUAACAUCCAAACAAAACACUCUCAAACAUUUGUUUAUUCAAUAAACACAACAAAAAAGCUAGAAGUUGUUUUCCAAAAAUAAUUACACAUACUGCACAUGCCAGCUACCUGGCAACCAGGCAAUUGCAGCUGUUUUCGUUUCAUUUUAGCAAAUAAACACAAUCAAAUGCAUCCAAUCGUAGCAAUUUCCGGUUAUGUACAGUACGACAAACGUUACUCAAAUCAUCAACCAUAAUCGUAGCGACAACAAUAACGCCGGUAGCUAAUGCUAGCAAACAAAAUGCAAAAUGCAUUAACGUAUCAGUGUGAAGCAAUUAUAAAUGGCGCAUUGCAAAAUGUUAAACUUUGCUAUGGUGAUACUAAACAUGGGAUAUGAGUCUAUUUUCUCAAACACUAUAGGCCGAACCUUCCCAUUCGUGCUAGUCCUGCCGCCCACCUUCACACAUUACGGCCGAUCUUUGGUGCUGCUCCUCUAGCGAAAAGGCUUUUUCCAACCCGUCACUAGUGUCCUUUUUCAGUGCUAAUCAAUGUUGCAUAAAAUGAAAUAAUGCCAUCGUUACAAUCCACUGAUUUUCACGCACUCGUGAAUACGCUGUCCUUCCUGGUCGGUUCCAAAAUGUGUGCCGCCAUCGUCCACCGCACAUGCUCUCUCGCCACCGGUCACAUAUAUGUUCGUCCCACUUGGUGACGAAAAUUAUGGAGAAAGUAUAGCUUUCCACUCCAGUGCACUAUUAUCCUGCUGUACCGUUUUUGGUAGCAUUAUCGUUUCCGUGUGUUCUCCUAACCCCGCUCACCACACCACCAAUGCCCAUUCGUACGAUUCUUGCUGGGGUUAGAAUAGUUGUUUAGUACUUCAAAACAUCGCACUUCCCUUGAUAGUGAAGUGGGGAAACAACAAUAAUAACGAAAAAAAAAUACUCAAAAACGAACACAGCUCAUAUUGUUUGACGCUGUUUUCGCCAUGACACCCGCAUCAGUCAGACACGCACACAUCGUUGUCGCACAAUCGACAGUUUACCCGUACGCUAAACUUCCGCAUCUAAUUGUAGGUUAGGUUCAAAGUAGCAGCAUAUUUUUAAAUUAUUUUAUACAACUAUAAGCGAUACAUAUUUCGUUCUGUGAAACUGUUUCUUAUCAUUGUCAACAUAUAUGGCCUUUCUAAUCCUCUUCACCGAUGUGUAUGGAAAAAAUUGUCAUGAUCUAUUAAACAUCUCUCAAUUUACAUUUUUAAAUUGCUUUAUAUAAGAUAAUUAUUUAUAGUGCAUGAGAUAUCUAUGUCGCAUUGUGUUACAUUCACAUUUAAAUGUUUUUUUCCCAAUGAGAAUGCAAAUCACUGAGCAGUAAUUGGCAACAUGCGACACUCCUUGGAGACAAUAAAACUGCCGUACACCAUGUGGUCGUUAUAAUUUGCAACACCUCCACUAAUUGUACAUUAUGUUUUAUAGCUUUUGCCUUACAUCGAACAGCAUAAUGUAUGGUUUACAUAUUGUUAUUUUUUACUCUACACACUUUGCGUAUAGGAACAAUAAAUUUUGUAAAGAAUAUUAUUUGCUAAGGCAUGAAUUAACAUAAAUGAGCAGCAGUGAAUGGGGCUUACAUAAAAAAACCACCACAAACACACACACAAACACACACACAUAUAGAGAUAUAAGUUUGCUUCGACCAGCUCUAGGUGCACUGCAGCAUCUACAAGACCUGCGAAUGGUCUCUUUGUGCACUGUAUGAAAUGUUCACCUUGACACACAUAGACGCCGUUGUCGCAAGAUGUACGUACGGAAAAAGUUCACGAGAUACCCUUGUCUCGGGCCACCACCAUUGACCCGGGUGCAUGAGGGUAAGAUGGUAGGUUGGUUACGGUGCGUGUCUGUUUCGCCACACACUGCACUGUGCACAAUGACGUUGCGCAAAAAAAACGGGCAGAAGCGUUGACUUCCUCCUUGUGCGGGUCAUUACGUUAACUCGCUGGUCCUGCACCCCGGACGGUCGAUCCCGGGUUGCAUGUGCAAGUAUCGAAUGUUUAAGAUGCAUGGGAGUGUCUCGUACAGAGACCACCGAUACCCCAUCUCUUGGAUGCUAUCCAAAUCUAAAGACACUCAUAUGUCAUCUUAAGACAAUACAGUCCAAAAGAAAAUUAUCAUCAGUUCUGUCCUUGAUCGCUCUUUUUCUCUGUAUCUGUCGCCGUGGUGCCGAAUCGACUGAUGGUAUGAUACUCUUCUGACCGAAACCACACACACACACACACACACAGUACACGUCAAAUAUAGUAAUACCAUUUGCUCGGAUAAUUGCCUCACUUAUCCUGUUUCAAUGACUUUCUUCCUGUAUUCAUUUUUCCCCUGAUGGGCUCUUCCAAUAGCUUGGUUGAUAUUUUCGUAACAAGAUAUUUACUUUUAUCUGACCUUAUGAACUGUUAUUUUUAUACUCCAACACCAUCCCAUAGCAAAUGUCAGGCAGUUACAUAUAUUUACUACAGCUAAUCGCUUUACGUGCUACGUAAAAUAUCGCACACAGUUAUUUACAGCUCUACUUGUUCGUGAUAUGUUAACAAAUCCAUUUGCACAAAGUUUCGUCUUACAUACCAAGGUCUGCACGAAACACGUGUAAAAAAAAGAAGAAGAAAAGUUUCGUACCGUAAGAAGGUCAACCUUCGCGCCAACCAGUCACACACUCACCGGUGAAGGUCACUCGCGCUAGUUUUUGGGUCGUUCGACGUCAUAAAUGUUUAUCGUUCACUUUCACCAGGAAUCUGAGCGCGUAAGAAUAAUGUUACAUGCAGCAUUUAAUCCUGUACGGUACGCGACCAAGUUUGGCUGGUAGUUGGCUGAAGGACACUGGCAAUGGAGCACGAGCAAGAAAAGUUUUCUCCAGCACAACAUGAAUUGUCGUUUGUAGGUAAAUGAGCCACUAAUUCUAAUUAACAAACAUGCCGGAUAGGUUUACUGUACGAUUCGUCCAGAACCUUGCAUCAGUCGACCGGAUAACGACGAUUGGUAAUUUUCAUAACGCCAAGGCGAAGACUAGGUCGAUUGGAAAUGUACCAAUUCAUUCAACCAACACACCCGCCUCGUGUAAAUAAACUUCCACAUGGGACCACUCUUUGUGGUGGGCAUGCGUUUAUUUAUAUAUUUUCAUUUUCCAUAUCAUAAACCCCUUGGCCAGCCAUUCAGCGUAUGGCUAGUAUAAACAAUUCAGGUCAAUCGGGUGGAAAAAUCAUCCCAAACCAUGUGAUGAGGUUUUGGGAUUUUCAUUCGAAAUGACCUUACCUAUACCGUUAAUCAGCAUGUUUGACCGAAAUCACUAGAAUAGAUUAAAUAUUGUUUGGAUCAGCUCUGGGCGAUUUGGUGCGCGUGGUUUAGAGAGAGGUCUCGAGUGAUGUGUAGCAGUAGCUUAGGUAUUCCUUGUAAAACAUUUUUUCCAAAAACAAUUAUCUUAAAGUCUGCAUGGGUUCUUAUGCUCCCUGUUAGAGUAUCAUUAUAUAGAUACUAAAGUACGUAGCAAGUACAUAGCAAUUCCCCUGCGUGAGUUACUUCAGAAUGAUGUGUGUCAGGUCUUACUAUUUCGAAAUGACUUAAGCUAGACAUGCUGUUAGUAGUGAAACUAAUUGUGGCAAUUAAUUGGCCGUGUUCAUCAAAUACUCACAAUGUUUAAAUGACCUAAUCAAUUAAGUAUGCAUACUUAAGUACCGAAUGUUUGAUAAGCUUGAUCUACUUCAACGCAACGCGGACAUUAAGUAAGUAAAGUCUUGGACAACUCGAGGUCAAAACACGAUUCCUUCAGGUCAAUUCUGAACGAGAAUCGAGCAGUAUCGCAACCCGAUCAGGGCACGUUUGACAUUGGAAACGGAAACAAUCGAUUAAGGAAACGAAUCCAACCGGCACGACCAUGCUUUGCCUGCGACGCUGAAUGGAAAGUCUCACGAACGCAAGGAGGCUGAAAGCAACGGCGAACUAGGGCAUUUCAUAACCUUUCCCAAACCCAUCCAACCCCUUUAUCACCACCCACUGAGGCACGACCAGCACCCAGUACUCCCGAAAUGGUACGGAACCUGCACGAAAGCUGCAGGUCCAGGAAAAACUGUAAGUGACUUCUGUAUCGUGGCGUCUCGCCAACGGCGUGUCCUUCCGAUUCGAUUCACGCCACGCCAGAAGAAGGUUAUUUCGUUCCGUUGGGAAACUGCGCGCUGCCGGUUGUUGCUGCAAAACCGUUUCUGGUGAAUGCUUCUCUGCAUGGUUCAAUAAGCUUGACCAGAGACCCCAUUCGAGUGGGUUCUCGAUAUUCGCCUGGGAUUGAGUACUAUAAUUACCUCUCUCUCCCUUACUGACAUCCGUUUAGCCCUUCGUAUGUGUUUGUGGUGAGAAAAGAUCAAUAAUGUCCUCGACGACAACUCGGAAUCCGAAAGUAUGGCGAUUAAUCAUUGCAAAACCAAGGUUUUGCACUGAUUUUACGGUAGUUUACAACACAGGUAAGAAGAUGUAAUGCAAUAACAGUGCGUAAUAUCUAAAUUCCUAGGACAAAAAAAGGGUCGCAAAACCUUGUACUGAACUUUAAUUUCCGGAAUUCUUCAAUUUGAACCUAUAAAAAAAAUCAUGCUUAUAGAAUAUUUUUCCAGAGCCUAGCCUAGCCUAGCCGUUCCAAAAUAGCAGAUAUAAAAAACAUAAUUCUUGAAAAUUUUAACUUGUUGUUAGUCUAAAAAACUAGUUAACAUCAAGAUUGAAAAAACUAUCGUAUUGAUUCAUAGAAGACAAGUCACGAUCAUAGAACAAAACGUCAGAACUCCUGAGGUGGUAGUAUAAAAAAUAGGAAAAUUUAAAAAUUGCCUAUAAACUUCGCUUAAAUCAUUAUUUGGAUAGAAAAUAUAAAUAUAGGGUGAGUUACCACAUGAUUUAUAGAAAUAUAUUACCAAGUAAAUCCAUAAAAAAGAUCUUAUUCGAAGUACAAAAGAUAUUUUUUUAACUGAAUUGUGGAAUUGAAUUGAUUGUAGAAUUGUGCAAUGAUGCUAUAAAUACCAAACAAGAACAAGUAAAUUGUAAUUGGGGCUAUUCUAAUAAUAAGCAUAAUAUCUAAAAAAUACGAACCAAUGAACAUAAUAGAAUUUUGAUUUUUUUAAUUUCUUUUGUUAAAUUAAUGAAUAUUGAAAAAAAAAAUCGUCAAAUUUCAGCUAGUGUCUUUCUAAUUUAUUUUCGGUACACAGAUUCGUAAAAAAUGUUCAAUCAAGGCAAAUUAAUAAUGAUAUUGUAGAGUAAGUUGUAUCUCGAAGAAACAUGAAAAAUCACACAUUAGUCGAAACGAUCUAAACAGUUUUUAGAUAAGCGGAUUUGAGCACCUUCAGAGUUUGAUCCAUCAGUAUGUUAUUAUUGAUACUGCAAAUAAAAGUCAAUCUAAGUGAAUAAACUCGAGUUGACGAAACCGAAGAUUUAUCAUAGUAGACGCAGACGUUGUAACAUUGCACUGAAAAUUAUUUUUGGUCAAGAUGCGGGAGAAUUCCAGUUAUUGUUCAUUUUUAAACGAAAUCCUUUCUCGCCAACGCCGGCUACGCAGAAAUAAGCGAUCAUCGCAUUCGGCGUUGAGAACGAUUACUAAAGGAUUGCAAGUUAGUGUUCCAAAAAAAGCAUCGCAACAUUUACCUCAUCGAAAGAAACAGUUUCAGAAAGCGGUUGACAUUUUCAUACACAGUUCUUGCAAAUUCGAUCGGGUGAAUGAACCUCAACGAAACAGAGCACCGACCAACCGAUCGCACAAGCUUACGGGGAGAAUGGCAUCUAAAUUUCUCACUCUGCCUCGCGCGGAUCAACACCAAUAUCUUAACUGUACUGAUAUGAUGGAGACCGCGAAUCAGGUGACGGUAUGUUCGGAUCCGUUUCUAUUAUUUCUGCAGGAUUUUACGAAAGAAUGCAAUGUGAUAAAUGCUCUGGAAAGGGAACAUUUGUACAUGGCCGGAGGAAACCAGGCAGUAAACCAUAUGCAGAACGAACUUAACGACAUUGUUGAUAUCGACGAUCCCGUUCUUGAUGGACUGCCCACUGUUGAUCAAAUCCUAUCCGUAGCCAAGUUAGCAUGGAACGAACUUUCCGAUGAAGCAAGAGAGCCGUACCGCUUUCGAGCAAUCAUGGCAGCACUUUUUCCUAAAUCUAUGGACCAGGCUUUCUGAUAAUUCUCUAUUGAUUUAAUGUUACAACAUAUUAUCUGAAACCUAGCUCAGCUUAUUUACUUCAUAGUGUUCUAGUUGUAUAUCUUACCAGUCAAAUAAUUGUUUUCGUAAAUGGAAAUUGUGAAAGAGAGCAUGAUUUUUUACUAUUGUUGAGCUCAGUAACUCAGGAAGAGUAAUUCUUUCAA